Non-coding RNA from Acanthosepion pharaonis, 108 nucleotides. NCBI's taxonomy places the organism in Eukaryota, Metazoa, Mollusca, Cephalopoda, Sepiida, Sepiidae. The record is from the annotation of a GenBank genome assembly.
CAUAUCACAUUGAAACUACCGGUUCCUGUAUGAUCACCAAAGUUAAGCAAUGUCGAGCCUGGUCAGUACCUAGAUGACUGACAACUUGAGAAUACCAGAUGCUGUAUG